Molecule: ribosomal RNA, 893 nt
Filed under: uncultured delta proteobacterium
Lineage: Bacteria; Deltaproteobacteria
Description: bacterial SSU rRNA
Rfam family: Bacterial small subunit ribosomal RNA
Source: RNAcentral
UCGAAUAGUNGCUANNNNNNNAAGCUNNNAGGGUAGCUGGCGAAGGAGGGAGCUAGCGCGGGAAGGCGUGCUAUACCAUUGGGCUGUAAGCUGCUGUAAUAUCUCGCGCCGAUCGAAAGCCUAGCUAGCUAAAUCGACUAGCAUCAGCAUCGAAGAUGCAGCUGCAGCUGAGCGUGCGACUAAAAUCGACUAGCAUGGUACGACUGCAAUUUGGGGGAAACCCUGACGAAGCAACGCCGCGUGAGGGAUGAAGGCUUUCGGGUCGUAAAGCUCUGUCAAGUGGGAAACCCACAUGGUGAUAAUACCCCAUGUGUUGACGGUACCACUGGGAAGCACCCGGCUAACUCCGUGCCAGCAGCCGCGGUAAAACGGGGGGUUCAAGCGUUAUUCGUGAAUUACUGGGCGUAAGAGCGCGUAGGCGGUCUUUAAGUCAUUUGUGAAAGCCCGGGGCUAAACCCCGGAAGUGCACUUGAACUAAGGGACUUGAGUAGGGAGAGGGAAGUGGAAUUCCUGGUGUAGCGGUGAAAUGCGUUAGAUAUCAGGGGAACACCGGUGGCCAAGGCGACUUCCUGGACCAAUAUGACGCUGAGGCGGGAAGGCCGUGGGGAGCAAACAGGAAAAGAUACCCUGGUGUCCACGCAGUAAACGGUGAACCACUAGGUGUAGCCGGUAUUUGACCCCUGCUUGUGCCGCAGCAAACGCUAAGUGUUCCGCCUGGGGAGUACGACCGAAGGUUAAACUCCCAAGGAAUUGACGGGGCCCGCCCCAACCGGUGGAGCAUGGUGGUUUAAAUCCGACGAACGGGAAGAACCUUACCUUAUUUGACAUCCCGGGAAUUUCUUGGAAACUUGAGAGUGCCUUCGGGGAGCCUGAAGACAGGUGCUGCAUGGCUG